This is a long non-coding RNA of Telopea speciosissima, 617 nucleotides long. RefSeq lists it as uncharacterized. The transcript has 3 exons. The record is from RefSeq and is a predicted model, not a curated record. NCBI's taxonomy places the organism in Eukaryota, Viridiplantae, Streptophyta, Magnoliopsida, Proteales, Proteaceae.
GAGAAAUAGAUGAAAUCUCAUCAUCGUUUUGGUACUCUUUGCUGCAUCUUCACUCUAAUCAUUUUGUGGAAAGGUGAAAGAUGACCAGAUCUUUCUCUUGAUUAAUGCUGGUUUCCUUACUCGCCAGCUAAUUGAUUCAAACAUAUACUAGUUUGCUAUUCCAAGUAUUGGCUCAGUACUCGAGGUCUUUCACAGGUAAAUUAUCUUAUGGUUUUGCCUUUUUAAAAUUUGAUGUAUGAUCCCUUAGUAACUUAUUACAUUUGGCUUUUUGUUGGCUAGAUACAAAUAUGUGUGAAAGUUAACAUGCACUGCCCCUUCAAAUAAAUGAGGAUCAGACGUUUGGAUACUCAAGUCAUUAAGAUGAUGCUCCCUCUAAUGAAAACUGAACCCAAUGUCUGUUGAAUUGAGAGUCCGAGCCAAAAAAAAAAAAAAAAAAAAGAUUUGCUUUAGUUGCAAUUUGGUCCUUUUUACCCCUUGUUCAGGUCCUGAUUUUGUUACCUAGUACAUGUGAUUUUCUUUAUGUCUAUUCAAUUGUCAUUUCAUGUCUAUGCAAGUACUCAGGACUUCAGGAGUACAAGCUCUUGCCAUGUAACUAGAACGUUACUAUGUUUCAUUUU